This 48-nucleotide non-coding RNA is filed under the name Schistosoma mansoni. The record is from RNAcentral. Lineage: Eukaryota; Metazoa; Platyhelminthes; Trematoda; Strigeidida; Schistosomatidae.
AUCCAGCUGACGAGUCCCAAAUAGGACGAAAGAUGUGUGAGACCUGAU